GAUGAAGAACGCAGCGAAAGGCGAUAAGUAAUGUGAAUUGCAGAAUUCAGUGAAUCAUCGAAUCUUUGAACGCACAUUGCGCCCCUUGGUAUCCCGAGGGGCAUGCCUGUUCGAGCGUCAUUUCACCACUCAAGCCUGGCUUGGUGUUGGGCGACGUCCCCUUUGGGGACGCGCCUCGAAACGCUCGGCGGCGUGGCACCGGCUUUAAGCGUAGCAGAAUCUUUCGCUUUGGAAGUCGGGGCCCCGUCUGCCGGAAGACCUACUCGCAAGGUUGACCUCGGAUCAGGCAGGGAUACCCGCUGAACUUAAGCAUAUCAAUAAGCGGAGGA
Molecule: unclassified non-coding RNA, 329 nt
Filed under: soil metagenome
Description: partial contains 5.8S ribosomal RNA, internal transcribed spacer 2, and large subunit ribosomal RNA
Rfam family: 5.8S ribosomal RNA (bases 1-120)
Source: RNAcentral